RNAcentral lists this ribosomal RNA (301 nucleotides) under uncultured bacterium. Its description in RNAcentral is "partial 16S ribosomal RNA". It matches the Rfam family "Bacterial small subunit ribosomal RNA", at positions 509 to 807 of the family's 1533-position model. The record is from RNAcentral.
CAGUAGCCGCGGUAAUACGGAGGAUCCAAGCGUUAUCCGGAAUCAUUGGGUUUAAAGGGUCCGUAGGCGGUCUUGUAAGUCAGUGGUGAAAGCCCAUCGCUCAACGGUGGAACGGCCAUUGAUACUGCAGGACUUGAAUUAUUGGGAAGUAACUAGAAUAUGUAGUGUAGCGGUGAAAUGCUUAGAGAUUACAUUGAAUACCAAUUGCGAAGGCAGGUUACUACCAAUUGAUUGACGCUGAUGGACGAAAGCGUGGGUAGCGAACAGGAUUAGAUACCCCCGUAGUCCCUGUCUCUUAUAC